UGGCUCAGAUUGAACGCUGGCGGAAUGCUUUACACAUGCAAGUCGAACGGUAGAGGGGGCAACCCCUUGAGAGUGGCGAACGGGUGAGUAAUAUAUCGGAACGUGCCCAGUCGUGGGGGAUAACGUAGUGAAAAUUACGCUAAUACCGCAUACGAUCUAUGGAUGAAAGCGGGGGAUCGCAAGACCUCGCGCGAUUGGAGCGGCCGAUAUCAGAUUAGGUAGUUGGUGAGGUAAAGGCUCACCAAGCCGACGAUCUGUAGCUGGUCUGAGAGGACGACCAGCCACACUGGAACUGAGACACGGUCCAGACUCCUACGGGAGGCAGCAGUGGGGAAUUUUGGACAAUGGACGCAAGUCUGAUCCAGCCAUUCCGCGUGCAGGAUGAAGGCCCUCGGGUUGUAAACUGCUUUUGUACGGAACGAAAAGGUUUCUAUUAAUACUAGGAGCUCAUGACGGUACCGUAAGAAUAAGCACCGGCUAACUACGUGCCAGCAGCCGCGGUAAUACGUAGGGUGCAAGCGUUAAUCGGAAUUACUGGGCGUAAAGCGUGCGCAGGCGGUUAUAUAAGACAGAUGUGAAAUCCCCGGGCUCAACCUGGGAACUGCAUUUGUGACUGUAUAGCUAGAGUACCGUAGAGGGGGAUGGGAAUUCCGCG
This 655-nucleotide ribosomal RNA is filed under the name uncultured bacterium. Its description in RNAcentral is "bacterial SSU rRNA". It matches the Rfam family "Bacterial small subunit ribosomal RNA", at positions 20 to 673 of the family's 1533-position model. The record is from RNAcentral.